ACUCAGGCUGGCCCAAGACAGAAUAUGAAGCCAAAUGAGGAGUUCAACAACAAUUCCACGUUCAAACCAUUGUUCCCCACUGCACAUCCUUCACCAUAGCGAAAUUCUGCCACCACAUCGUCGCGCCGGAAAUCGCCUCUGAUGGCGAUAGAGGCUCAAAAUACAUGAAUCACACCUUAAAAUACUCAUCUCAAUAAGCUCCAUAGAAGCCCUAAACCAAUUCCAACUAAAUCCUUUUCCUAUGCUCAAAUCUAAAGGGUUAAGGGAAUAACCCUAACAUCCAAGUUCAACCAUACCAAGGUCUCAACACGGAAAUGGGAUGCAAACCCUAGGGAUUUGGUCCAUAUGGCAUAAAUAUACAUCUUAACAACAAUGAAUCGCGAAGAAGAAGACACAUAUGCGUGAGGUCUCAGAUGAAGUUAAUUGCACAAAAAUACUAUAGGCAAAUAUACCAGGUUUUGUAGUAGGGUUUUGCUCCUGGUUUGCAAGUUGGUCUACACUUGGUUGCAUUGUAGCAGGUUGUGGGCUUGGUCUGGUUUUGUAGGUCUAUGAGCAGGUUCACAAGCAGGCACACUUUCUCUGGUCUUGCAGGUCUAUAAGCAGGUUCACUUGGUCUGGUUUAUCUCCGGUUUGUGUUGUUGCAGGAUGCUCAGAAUUCGGCUUGGAAAUUGAAGUGCAUUGCUUGGAAUUACGGAGUUUUCACAUUGCUUUUGGUCAUGGAGUUUUUGAACAUUUGUAAUUGGUUUAAAUGGAUGUAAUUCUGUAUGUGGUUUAUGUCAUGUAGGAUAAGGCAUAUGCAUGGAUGGUUGUAUAUAAUUGAUGGAAUUGGAUUUUAUAAAUGGUUUAAAUUGUAAUUGAAAAGUAAUUUGAAAAAUGAAAUGGUAAUGACUUGUAAA
Lathyrus oleraceus (garden pea) is the source of this 896-nucleotide long non-coding RNA. RefSeq lists it as uncharacterized. Lineage: Eukaryota; Viridiplantae; Streptophyta; Magnoliopsida; Fabales; Fabaceae. The transcript has 2 exons. The record is from RefSeq and is a predicted model, not a curated record.